UACGUAGGGGGCUAGCGUUAUCCGGAAUUACUGGGCGUAAAGGGUGCGUAGGUGGUUUCUUAAGUCAGAGGUGAAAGGCUACGGCUCAACCGUAGUAAGCCUUUGAAACUGGGAAACUUGAGUGCAGGAGAGGAGAGUGGAAUUCCUAGUGUAGCGGUGAAAUGCGUAGAUAUUAGGAGGAACACCAGUUGCGAAGGCGGCUCUCUGGACUGUAACUGACACUGCGGCACGAAAGCGUGGGGAGCAAACAGGAUUAGAUACCCGGGUAGUCACUGAGCGGG
This 281-nucleotide ribosomal RNA is filed under the name uncultured prokaryote. Its description in RNAcentral is "partial 16S ribosomal RNA". It matches the Rfam family "Bacterial small subunit ribosomal RNA", at positions 524 to 803 of the family's 1533-position model. The record is from RNAcentral.